Molecule: ribosomal RNA, 440 nt
Filed under: uncultured bacterium
Lineage: Bacteria
Description: partial 16S ribosomal RNA
Rfam family: Bacterial small subunit ribosomal RNA
Source: RNAcentral
CCUACGGGAGGCUGCAGUAGGGAAUAUUGCUCAAUGGGGGAAACCCUGAAGCAGCAACGCCGCGUGGAGGAUGAAGGUUUUCGGAUUGUAAACUCCUUUUGUUAGAGAAGAUAAUGACGGUAUCUAACGAAUAAGCACCGGCUAACUCCGUGCCAGCAGCCGCGGUAAUACGGCGGGUGCAAGCGUUACUCGGAAUCACUGGGCGUAAAGAGCGCGUAGGCGGGAUAGCAAGUCAGAUGUGAAAUCCUAGGGCUUAACCAUAGAACUGCAUUUGAAACUGUUAUUCUAGAGUAUGGGAGAGGUAGGUGGAAUUCUUGGUGUAGUGGUAAAAUCCGUAGAGAUCAAGAGGAAUACUCAUGGCGAAGGCGACCUGCUAGAACAUAACUGACGCUGAUGCGCGAAAGCGUGGGGAGCAAACAGGAUUAGAUACCCUGGUAGUC